RNAcentral lists this ribosomal RNA (462 nucleotides) under uncultured bacterium. RNAcentral's name for it is "bacterial SSU rRNA". It matches the Rfam family "Bacterial small subunit ribosomal RNA", at positions 28 to 507 of the family's 1533-position model. The record is from RNAcentral.
GAUGAACGCUGGCGGUAUGCCUAACACAUGCAAGUCGUACGAGAGUUUUUAACUCUAGUGGCGGACGGGUGAGUAACACGUGAGAAUUUGCCUUUAGGAGGGGGACAACAAUCGGAAACGAAUGCUAAUACCCCAUAUGCUUUCGAGUGAAAUGGAUUUUAUCCGCCUAGAGAGAAGCUCGCGGCUGAUUAGCUUGUUGGUAAGGUAAGAGCUUACCAAGGCGACGAUCAGUAUCUGGUUUGAGAGGACGAUCAGACACACUGGAACUGAGACACGGUCCAGACUCCUACGGGAGGCAGCAGUGGGGAAUUUUGGACAAUGGACGCAAGUCUGAUCCAGCCAUUCCGCGUGCAGGAUGAAGGCCCUCGGGUUGUAAACUGCUUUUGUACGGAACGAAACGGUCUGGGCUAAUACCCCGGGCUAAUGACGGUACCGUAAGAAUAAGCACCGGCUAACUACGUG